RNAcentral lists this unclassified non-coding RNA (327 nucleotides) under soil metagenome. RNAcentral's name for it is "partial contains 5.8S ribosomal RNA, internal transcribed spacer 2, and large subunit ribosomal RNA". The stretch from base 1 to 120 matches the Rfam family "5.8S ribosomal RNA", at positions 35 to 154 of the family's 154-position model. The record is from RNAcentral.
GAUGAAGAACGUAGCGAAAUGCGAUAAUUAAUGUGAAUUGCAGAAUUUAGUGAAUCAUCGAAUCUUUGAACGCACAUUGCGCCCCUUGGUAUUCCGGGGGGCAUGCCUGUUCGAGCGUCAUUUCAACCCUCAAGCACUGCUUGGUCUUGGGCCACGCCGGCGACGGCAGGCCUCAAACGUAGUGGCGGCACCAUCGGUUCCCUCAGUGUAGUAAUAUCUCUCGCUGCUGGGCCCUGGUGGUCGCUAGCCAGCAACCUCAAUUUUUUCUGGUUGACCUCGGAUCAGGUAGGGAUACCCGCUGAACUUAAGCAUAUCAUAAGCGGAGGA